Brienomyrus brachyistius is the source of this 402-nucleotide long non-coding RNA. RefSeq lists it as uncharacterized. The record is from RefSeq and is a predicted model, not a curated record. The transcript is spliced from 3 exons. NCBI's taxonomy places the organism in Eukaryota, Metazoa, Chordata, Actinopteri, Osteoglossiformes, Mormyridae.
GUUUGCCUUACUCACAGACUAUCAACGUUGUAUAAACAAAAGGGAGCAGACAUGUUUAUCUCUGUGUGCAGCGAGUCUUACUCGCUCACUUUUACUCUUCAGAUAUUUAAGAGUUGUCAGAGUUGCCGGGAGCGGAGGCGGUGUGUGAUGAGGUUUGAAGGCUGGUCUCUCGUUCCUACAUCUCACAACGGCCCCUGGAAUGUCUACACUGCCUCCUACAGUUAUUCGUGAGGCCAGAGGGGGCAUGCCAGCUGAGGACACAAUGCGCAGUGAGACUGCAGACCCCGGGCAAGGUGAAGGACAAAGAGCGCCUCCCCACUGACCCUCUGAGAACUGCACCUGCGCACCUCUGACAUCUCAUUCAGCAAACAGAACACGGUGAAGACAAGCGUAUGAAAAGGA